UCACCUCCCCAGAAGGAUUCCCAAAGCCCUGGUGGCCCAGGACUAGUCUCUGCUGGAAGGGUGUCUGUUUAUUCCUCUCUCACCAUUUCUCCGGGAACUGAUCUUUCCCAGUCAUGGCUGGGGUCACAUUGGGACAGCUGACCCUCAGCUCUCCUGAGAUGGUUUAGGAGCCCGCAGGCAGCGUUCUGCUUUGAGUAGCAAGAUUCCUGGCUGGACAUGAAAGGAAAGAUUAUAACAGCCCAUUUUCUCCAGGCGGCUUACCCUUGAUUCAGUGAGAAUCAAGGAAGAAGAGGGAAAGAAAUAAAGCAUCUUCAUCCAUCCUUCCUUCCUCCUUGCCUUACUCCACCAGCCACCAUGCCCUGCUGAGGCUGGUAAGGACCCAAGAGGGUGAGGGGCACACUGCACUUGAGCAGAUACACACGUAUACUUCGAUGAAGCCCUCUGCAGUGCGGUCUAGGUGUGCACAGAGCGGCAGCCACGGUGCCUGUCCCAUGCAGCACAGCCAGUGAGUGACAGAGCUCAGAUGAAGGCCAGAUCCGGCUGGAUAACACCUAGGCGCCUUCCUCCCUGCUGUUUGUCCCCACCCCACCCCCGUGGACUGAGGGGCUGGGCUUUGCCUGGACACGAUGUUCUCUGUAACAUCAAAUGAGCUUGUAUAACCAUGUGACUGUGCGGUGAGUAGACACUGAGUGUGUGGGCCCUGGCUGGGGUCAGGCCAGGUCACGCCACAGUCCCAUGCUGCACUCAGAAGGAUCCCGAGCCAGCAGCAGCCCCCUCACCCAUGAGUGACCCGGCCGGGAAGGGGACGUUGACAUGUCAACUGGUGCUGUGUUCGCGUCUUGUUUCGGAGCCCAUACUGUUGAGAUUUCCUGGGUACAGCAUCCCUGCCAUCUCUACCGCAAGCGUCCUGAGCCUCUGGAUCUUCUGCCGUUCUGUGAUGUCCCCCCUGAAUCUUAAGUGUAGGAGUUAUAUGGACCCAACGGGAGCCAUCAAUUAGGACCACGCCGGUGCCUACAGCUGACCUGAACUGUGUGAAGACAGAGCUUCCAUGAAAUGCCCUGGAAUCACUUUGUUCCCAAGGAUCUUAAUUACAAGGAGUCCUCAUGGCAAAGGGAUUAAAUGGCUUCCGCUCCUUUAGGUCUGUAGCUCCCCACCCAGCCAGUGCUUCCUCCUGUGCUUGGUGUUUCUUUUCCACCUCAGUGUGACAAUGCUCUGGAGGCUUCCUGGCAAAGGAGCGCUGAGGAGAACGUGCGUGCGCUUAGGAGCUGCUCUUGACACCGGGACCUUUCCGGAAGUGCUUCCUCUCUGGCAAAUCUUUUGCUGAGCAGGUGGAAGGGAGAGGUCCCAACAGUGUUCUGAACUGCUUCAU
Molecule: long non-coding RNA, 1369 nt
Organism: Mus musculus (house mouse)
Lineage: Eukaryota; Metazoa; Chordata; Mammalia; Rodentia; Muridae
Product: predicted gene, 34719
Exons: 3
Source: RefSeq, a predicted model, not a curated record